AAGAACAGGAGCAGAAUUUACAUUUAGCAAACAUUUUGACAAUGGUGUCAAUGAGCAUCUGGCAUUUCUUAUUUGUGGUGAUUGUUUCUCAACAAGGUAUCAGUGGUGAUGAAAUCCGAUUAGAUCAGUCUCCUGCUGUGAUAAAGAGACCUGGAGAAACAGUGAAAAUCUCCUGUAAAAUAUCUGGUUUUACAAUGACAGACUACUGGAUGCACUGGAUCAGAGAGAAGCCAGGGAAAGCUCUGGAGUGGAUUGGGGGAGUAAACUCUGGCAGUAGUUCUAGCUCUAAUUAUCUUAUUUACGCAGACUCUGUGAAAAAUCACUUCACUAUGAGUGAGGAUGUGUCUCAAAGUACACAGUAUCUUGAAGCCAAGAGUCUGAGAGAAGAGGACACUGCUGUUUAUUACUGUGCUCGACAGACACAGUGACUCCAUCUGUUGAAGAGGCCCUACAAUAACCACAGCUAAAUUACUAUUAUUAUUGUUAUUAAAUUGUUAUUAUUAUUAUUUUUAAAUAUUAGUUGUCAUUGUGAUACGAUCAUCAUGAUUUUAAUUCUCACUAGUUCUAUUCAGAUUUCUUGUUUGUAUCUGAAACUCACCAACUCACCUCACUACUCACCAUUUAUAUGACCAUUGAAAGGACAGAGUUUACUGAUGAUGGAGAUUGCAGUUUUUUGAUUUUCAUUCAGAUUUGUAUUUAUUUGUUAACUUUAAUUAUUUUUCUUUCAUCCAGCUUACUGUAACUCAAUGGCAAAAAGUGAUCAAUUAAUUCAAAUGUACAGUACUCUUGCUUUAAUUGCUGUAGUGAUGCUCAACAAUAAGCAAAGCCACACAUCAGUGCAACAACCACCACUGUCAGUCACAUCCUGAAAUGCCAAAACAUCUCCCUCCGUCCUCCUCACGGACCUCAUUUACCUCCAAUAACAGCACAGAUCUACAGCUUUCUGAUGAGCAUCAUUUGAGUGAAAAUAAAGGUAUUUCUGUGUCUAUGAACAUCACGACACCUGCAGUGUUUACUGAGC
This is a non-coding RNA of Megalobrama amblycephala (Wuchang bream), 1021 nucleotides long. The record is from the annotation of a RefSeq genome assembly. NCBI's taxonomy places the organism in Eukaryota, Metazoa, Chordata, Actinopteri, Cypriniformes, Xenocyprididae.